AUGGCCGAGGCUCCGGCGGCGGGCCGCAGGGCAGAGGAGGCGGGGAGCCGGCCCCGCACGGAGGAGGAGGCGGAGGCGGCGGCCGCCGCCGACGGGGAUGGGGACAGCAGCGUCUACACCUCGAAGGACGAGGGCACGGAGGACUACUGCUGCGGCAGCUACCACGCCGUCCGCCCCAGCGACACCUUCAAGCGGGGCGCCUACAGGUAUGUGGCCCUCAAGGUGCAGAAGAGCGCACAACACUACAUGGAGCCUACCAUGGAUGAGAUCAAGAUCUUGAGGCAGAUUGCCGAUGGUGACCCUGAAGACUCCCGCCAUGUUGUCAAGCUUCUUGACCACUUCAAGCACUCAGGCCCCAACAGGAGCCAUGUCUGCAUGGUGUUUGAGUUUCUUGGUGACAACUUGUUGCUCACUCUGAUCAACUUCGAGCUGCUCACAGAUGCACAGAUGGACAAGGUGGUGAACCCGUUGUUUGAGAAGAGGCCGAAGCAGUUCGGCAUCGGUGGCACCCUGCCGCCCAAGAAGGACCUCCACCGGUUUGUCAAGUGGCCCAAGGUCAUGCGCAUCCAACGCCAGCGCCGCAUCCUCAAGCAGUGCCUCAAGGUGCCCCCGACGCUCCACCAGUUCACCCGCACCCUUGACAAGAACCUCGGUGUUUACCUCUCUAAGUUCCUGUUUAAACUUCUAAAUUUGAGCAGCUUUUCUUGUUCUGAGUUCCUUCAGGGAGAUGAAUCUGAAUUGGUGUUGACUCUUUGUCUCAAUUCAGUUUAA
RNAcentral lists this ribosomal RNA (771 nucleotides) under Triticum aestivum (bread wheat). Its description in RNAcentral is "partial small subunit ribosomal RNA". Lineage: Eukaryota; Viridiplantae; Streptophyta; Magnoliopsida; Poales; Poaceae. The record is from RNAcentral.